GUGGAUGGCCGAGUGGUUUAAGGCGUUGGACUUCGAAAUCCAAUGGGGUAUCCCGCGCAGGUUCAAACCCUGCUCACG
Non-coding RNA from Larimichthys crocea (large yellow croaker), 78 nucleotides. NCBI's taxonomy places the organism in Eukaryota, Metazoa, Chordata, Actinopteri, Sciaenidae. The record is from the annotation of a RefSeq genome assembly.